Molecule: ribosomal RNA, 443 nt
Filed under: uncultured bacterium
Lineage: Bacteria
Description: partial 16S ribosomal RNA
Rfam family: Bacterial small subunit ribosomal RNA
Source: RNAcentral
CCUACGGGUGGCAGCAGUCGGGAAUAUUGGGCAAUGGAGGAAACUCUGACCCAGCAAUACCGCGUGAAGGAUGAAGGUUUUCGGAUUGUAAACUUCUGUUAUAAAGGAAGAAAAAAAUGACGGUACUUUAUAAGUAAGCCCCGGCAAACUAUGUGCCAGCAGCCGCGGUGAUACAUAGGGGGCAAGCGUUGUCCGGAAUGACUGGGUGUAAAGGGCGUGCAGCCGGGAAGACAAGUCAGAUGUGAAAUCCCGGGGCUCAACCGCGGAACUGCAUUUGAAACUGUUUUUCUUGAGUACCGGAGAGGUCAUCGGAAUUCCUUGUGUAGCGGUGAAAUGCGUAGAUAUAAGGAAGAACACCAGUGGCGAAGGCGGAUGACUGGACGGCAACUGACGGUGAGGCGCGAAAGCGUGGGGAGCAAACAGGAUUAGAUACCCCUGUAGUC